This 293-nucleotide long non-coding RNA is filed under the name Phaseolus vulgaris (common bean). RNAcentral describes it as "long non-coding RNA (PVUL_LNC004437)". Lineage: Eukaryota; Viridiplantae; Streptophyta; Magnoliopsida; Fabales; Fabaceae. The record is from RNAcentral.
ACAACUCAACUCUCCUCAAGAUGGGAUUUCAAAAGGAAGAUGAUAGCUGGAUAUUCAGAAGGAAUGCUGCAAACAGAGCUGAAAAUGAAGCUGCUGAUCCAGAAAAUGAAGAAGAAAAUGCUGAUGGAGUGCAGAACAUGGAUGCAUCACCAGUACACUCUGCUGGACAUGAGGAUAUUGCUGCUACAAGCCAAAAUGCAAUGGUUGCAUAUGAGGCACCUGAAUACAGAGGUGAACCUCUGUCUAUGUUUGAAAGACAAGUGCUAAGCAGGCUGGACACACUCACAUAUGAG